CCUACGGGUGGCUGCAGUCGAGAAUCUUCGGCAAUGAGCGCAAGCUUGACCGAGCGACGCCGCGUGCGGGAUGAAGGCUUUCGGGUUGUAAACCGCUGUCAGUGGGGAGGCCGAUCCGCAGAGGAAGGACGGGCUAAGUUCGUGCCAGCAGCCGCGGUAAGACGAACCGUCCGAACGUUAUUCGGAAUCACUGGGCUUAAAGAGUGCGUAGGCGGCUUAUCAGGCGGGGUGUGAAAUCCCUCGGCCCAACCGAGGAAUAGCGCUCCGAACCGAUAGGCUUGAGGAGGAUAGAGGUAAGCGGAACAGAUGGUGGAGCGGUGAAAUGCGUUGAUAUCAUCUGGAACACCUGUGGCGAAAGCGGCUUACUGGGUCCUCUGACGCUGAGGCACGAAAGCUAGGGUAGCGAACGGGAUUAGAUACCCUUGUAGUC
RNAcentral lists this ribosomal RNA (430 nucleotides) under uncultured bacterium. RNAcentral's name for it is "partial 16S ribosomal RNA". It matches the Rfam family "Bacterial small subunit ribosomal RNA", at positions 338 to 795 of the family's 1533-position model. The record is from RNAcentral.